UACGUAGGUGGCAAGCGUUGUCCGGAAUUAUUGGGCGUAAAGCGCGCGCAGGCGGUCCUUUAAGUCUGAUGUGAAAGCCCACGGCUUAACCGUGGAGGGUCAUUGGAAACUGGGGGACUUGAGUGCAGAAGAGGAAAGCGGAAUUCCACGUGUAGCGGUGAAAUGCGUAGAGAUGUGGAGGAACACCAGUGGCGAAGGCGGCUUUCUGGUCUGUAACUGACGCUGAGGCGCGAAAGCGUGGGGAGCAAACAGG
RNAcentral lists this ribosomal RNA (253 nucleotides) under uncultured bacterium. RNAcentral describes it as "partial 16S ribosomal RNA". It matches the Rfam family "Bacterial small subunit ribosomal RNA", at positions 524 to 776 of the family's 1533-position model. The record is from RNAcentral.